This is a non-coding RNA of Oryza glaberrima (African rice), 208 nucleotides long. NCBI's taxonomy places the organism in Eukaryota, Viridiplantae, Streptophyta, Magnoliopsida, Poales, Poaceae. The record is from Rfam.
UUUAAUUACAACCAUAAGUUUCCAUGCCUAACUUUAAUCGUCCGUCUUAUUUGAAAUUUUUUUAUAAUUAGUAUUUUUGUUGUUAUGAGAUGAUAAAGCAUGAAUAGUACUAUACUCGUGACUUAUGUUUUUAUAUUGUUUUUUCAAAAAUUUUUUAAAUAAGACGGAUAAUCAAAGUUAGACGCGGAAAACCAUAGCUACACUUAAA